RNAcentral lists this ribosomal RNA (468 nucleotides) under uncultured bacterium. RNAcentral's name for it is "partial 16S ribosomal RNA". It matches the Rfam family "Bacterial small subunit ribosomal RNA", at positions 28 to 507 of the family's 1533-position model. The record is from RNAcentral.
GACGAACGCUGGCGGCGUGCUUAACACAUGCAAGUCGAACGGAAAGGCCCUGCUUUUGUGGGGUUCUCGAGUGGCGAACGGGUGAGUAACACGUGAGUAACCUGCCCUUGACUUUGGGAUAACUUCAGGAAACUGGGGCUAAUACCGGAUAGGAGCUCCUGCUGCAUGGUGGGGGUUGGAAAGUUUCGGCGGUUGGGGAUGGACUCGCGGCUUAUCAGCUUGUUGGUGGGGUAGUGGCUUACCAAGGCUUUGACGGGUAGCCGGCCUGAGAGGGUGACCGGCCACAUUGGGACUGAGAUACGGCACAGACUCCUACGGGAGGCAGCAGUGGGGAAUAUUGCACAAUGGGCGGAAGCCUGAUGAAGCAACGCCGCGUGCGGGAUGACGGCCUUCGGGUUGUAAACCGCUUUCGCCUGUGACGAAGCGUGAGUGACGGUAAUGGGUAAAGAAGCACCGGCUAACUACGUG